RNAcentral lists this ribosomal RNA (837 nucleotides) under Enterococcus durans. Its description in RNAcentral is "bacterial SSU rRNA". It matches the Rfam family "Bacterial small subunit ribosomal RNA", at positions 70 to 878 of the family's 1533-position model. Lineage: Bacteria; Bacillati; Bacillota; Bacilli; Lactobacillales; Enterococcaceae. The record is from RNAcentral.
UCUUUUUCCACCGGAGCUUGCUCCACCGGAAAAAGANGAGUGGAGAACGGGUGAGUAACACGUGGGUAACCUGCCCAUCAGAAGGGGAUAACACUUGGAAACAGGUGCUAAUACCGUAUAACAAUCNAAACCGCAUGGUUUUGAUUUGAAAGGCGCUUUCGGGUGUCGCUGAUGGAUGGACCCGCGGUGCAUUAGCUAGUUGGUGAGGUAACGGCUCACCAAGGCCACGAUGCAUAGCCGACCUGAGAGGGUGAUCGGCCACAUUGGGACUGAGACACGGCCCAAACUCCUACGGGAGGCAGCAGUAGGGAAUCUUCGGCAAUGGACGAAAGUCUGACCGAGCAACGCCGCGUGAGUGAAGAAGGUUUUCGGAUCGUAAAACUCUGUUGUUAGAGAAGAACAAGGAUGAGAGUAACUGUUCAUCCCUUGACGGUAUCUAACCAGAAAGCCACGGCUAACUACGUGCCAGCAGCCGCGGUAAUACGUAGGUGGCAAGCGUUGUCCGGAUUUAUUGGGCGUAAAGCGAGCGCAGGCGGUUUCUUAAGUCUGAUGUGAAAGCCCCCGGCUCAACCGGGGAGGGUCAUUGGAAACUGGGAGACUUGAGUGCAGAAGAGGAGAGUGGAAUUCCAUGUGUAGCGGUGAAAUGCGUAGAUAUAUGGAGGAACACCAGUGGCGAAGGCGGCUCUCUGGUCUGUAACUGACGCUGAGGCUCGAAAGCGUGGGGAGCAAACAGGAUUAGAUACCCUGGUAGUCCACGCCGUAAACGAUGAGUGCUAAGUGUUGGAGGGUUUCCGCCCUUCAGUGCUGCAGCUAACGCAUUAAGCACUCCGCCUGGGG